UCGCGACGAUUGCCAUGGUAUCUUUCGUUAUCACACACCAACGAGACUCUUCGGACGUUUAACGAGUAUAGAGAAUAGGAAUCGAAAUGUAAAAGAGAAGAAUACUGUUACUAUUGGGAUCGGUGUAUUACGUGCAUGCUUACGAGAUAUUAAUCGAAGCGGAGAAUAGGAGGAAAAAGUGGCGGUCAAUUCCGUCCACGAAGCGCAAUUGUCGACCGACACGGAAACUUCCCAGCGGAAAGAAACACACAGAAGGUUGUUCCCAUUUCGUCGACGGACUUGGCCUGGUUGCCGAAUUUGCCAGCCCUUUUUCAUUAAUUAGUAUGUAGUACUUAGGCAGCGGAGAAAAUAGACACUUUUACAAAUGAA
Long non-coding RNA from Bombus pascuorum, 369 nucleotides. RefSeq lists it as uncharacterized. Lineage: Eukaryota; Metazoa; Arthropoda; Insecta; Hymenoptera; Apidae. The record is from RefSeq and is a predicted model, not a curated record. The transcript is spliced from 2 exons.